AUAAAGCUAGGGCUAGGGUUUAUAAGGCAUGUAGCAUGUAAGAAAGGAAAGAAAAGGGCCGACUAAUUUUAUGAUGAGGCAUGAGGUAUUAGAGGCGUGUAAUAAAAGAAGGAUGGGGCAUGCCCACUUUGUGCGUGAAGAAAGAUGGGAGGAUUUUGGGGGUGUCAAAGAAAGUUUAGCAUACAAGAUAGAGGGAACUAGGGC
This 204-nucleotide long non-coding RNA is filed under the name Elaeis guineensis (African oil palm). RNAcentral describes it as "long non-coding RNA (EGUI_LNC074049)". Lineage: Eukaryota; Viridiplantae; Streptophyta; Magnoliopsida; Arecales; Arecaceae. The record is from RNAcentral.